GAUGAACGCUGGCGGCGUGCCUAAUACAUGCAAGUCGAGCGAACAGACGAGGAGCUUGCUCCUCUGACGUUAGCGGCGGACGGGUGAGUAACACGUGGAUAACCUACCUAUAAGACUGGGAUAACUUCGGGAAACCGGAGCUAAUACCGGAUAAUAUAUUGAACCGCAUGGUUCAAUAGUGAAAGACGGUUUUGCUGUCACUUAUAGAUGGAUCCGCGCCGCAUUAGCUAGUUGGUAAGGUAACGGCUUACCAAGGCAACGAUGCGUAGCCGACCUAAGAGGGUGAUCGGCCACACUGGAACUGAGACACGGUCCAGACUCCUACGGGAGGCAGCAGUAGGGAAUCUUCCGCAAUGGGCGAAAGCCUGACGGAGCAACGCCGCGUGAGUGAUGAAGGUCUUCGGAUCGUAAAACUCUGUUAUUAGGGAAGAACAAAUGUGUAAGUAACUAUGCACGUCUUGACGGUACCUAAUCAGAAAGCCACGGCUAACUACGU
This 496-nucleotide ribosomal RNA is filed under the name uncultured bacterium. RNAcentral's name for it is "partial 16S ribosomal RNA". It matches the Rfam family "Bacterial small subunit ribosomal RNA", at positions 28 to 506 of the family's 1533-position model. The record is from RNAcentral.